This 61-nucleotide transfer RNA is filed under the name Stygobromus tenuis potomacus. Its description in RNAcentral is "tRNA-Met". The record is from RNAcentral. Lineage: Eukaryota; Metazoa; Arthropoda; Malacostraca; Amphipoda; Crangonyctidae.
UAAAAGAUAAGCUAAAUAAGCUAGUGGGCUCAUACCUCACUUAUGACUAUGUCUCUUUUAA